Non-coding RNA from Styela clava, 1379 nucleotides. NCBI's taxonomy places the organism in Eukaryota, Metazoa, Chordata, Ascidiacea, Stolidobranchia, Styelidae. The record is from RefSeq and is a predicted model, not a curated record.
UCGAAUUUUUUGCGUUUAAUGGUUUAUGUGCAUCUUUGUGUCGCUAAUUCUCUUAUAAUUCAAUUUUGUAUUACCUCACAGACAUUUUUAAGACGUUUGUAGCUAUACCAAUGCAGUUUCGAUAAACCUAGACCUGCAAUUAUUCAUUCAAAUAUCAACAAAAUGGAAUUGAAAUUACAAGUUUUAAAUUGGCGAGGCGAAUCUAAAUCGGAGUCUGCAAUGAUUAUUAGAGAUCAACUCAUUUCUUCAGUUAGGCACUAGAAUAGUAGGCUACUGAAUGAUUCUUGGUGUGUGAUUGUUGAACCAAAGACGACGGCGUAAACAAAUAAAGGCGAUCGAGAACAAGAAAUAUUCGAGUUAAAACAACUUGUCUGGAUCUUUAACUGACUGGAUGUAAACAAGCUGCGAAUGUUGACAUCGGGAACUGCUGGGGCGAAACAAACUACGGUUAAAAUACAAAUUGAAGUAGGGAUUUCAGUUAGGCCAUAAUAUAGCACCAGAUUGGUAGCGAAGAGAGUAUUUGUGUUGUAUCAAAGACCCUAGGAAAGAUGCGGCCGGGCAAAGAUAAGUGGGCUAUUUUGAAUGUAAAAUGUACAUCAUUGUUAAAUUAAAAACUCGACAACGAUGCGGUUGUGCUGAGAUGUUCCGAAAAUAGUACAGGUGACAUUACUUUUUUGUCAUUUCAACGGUCAUUUCUUUUGCGCAUAAAUGGCUUUUUUGUUUCCCUAUUAUAUCCAAAACUUUUUAUGUCAUGUCAGUCAGUUUGACGACGUCAACAGCAGUUUUCAUUUCUUAAUUUGUUUGGUCCAUCUAUAUUCUAACGUUUUUCUUUUAAAACCCGCUUUUCUGAGUCUUUUACAGCUUCACUAAUGCAGUUAGACUUAGGUUUAGGCCUACAACUGUUGAUCCAAAUGUCUACGAAGUGGACGUGUUGAUGUGGAACGAAAACGAAAGUUACCAUGACUACCCGCUAAAUUUAAACUAAAUAAUAUUACAGUUAGGCCAUAACAUAGUAUUAAUGCGACGAUUGUUGUCAAAUUCAUGAAUCGAAGACUCACGGGAGACGAUCAAGGAGUAAUUAGAUAACUGUUAAUUUAUUUACAGCCAUAAGUGCACAAGCGCGGGCAAUACGGUAUACACCCUUGGAGGUUUUAUGACUACGUCAGUGUCAUCGUAUUGUCUUAUUUUAUUACCCUUAACAUGAAUCCGAUUACAUAUGACGGUCUUAUAACUACUGGGCUGUUGCGCUGCGAAACGUACCUUUGUUAUGACUGCAUUCAAAUUUACAUUUUGAAUAGUUUUCCAAUUAUCCACGUCUCAGCUGUAUAACAAAUAAUAUUUAUUAACGGCAAUUAAUAUAUGACCUUGCUUCCUUUUCA